GACGAACGCUGGCGGCGUGCCUAAUACAUGCAAGUUGAGCGCUGAAGGUUGGUUCUUGUGCCAACUGGAUGAGCAGAAAACGGGUGAGUAACGCGUGGGGAAUCUGCCUUUCAUCGGGGUACAACAUGUGGAAACGGGUGCUAAUACCGCAUAAACUCUUUAAGCACAAGUUUUAAGUUUGAAAUAUGCAAUUGCAUCACUCAAAGAUGAUCUCGCGUUGUAUUAGCUAGUUGGUGAGGUAAAGGCACACCAAGGCGAUGAUACAUAGCCGACCUGAGAGGGGGAUCGGCCACAUUGGGACUGAGACACGGCACAAACUCCUACGGGAGGGAGCAGGAGGGAAUCUUCGGCAAUGGACGAAAGUCUGACCGAGCAACGCCGCGUGAGUGAGGAAGGUUUUCGGAUCGUAAAACUCUGUUGGUAGAGAAGAACGUUGGUGAGAGUGGAAAGCUCAUCAAGUGACGGUAACUACCCAGAAAGGGACGGCUAACUACGUG
This 497-nucleotide ribosomal RNA is filed under the name uncultured bacterium. Its description in RNAcentral is "partial 16S ribosomal RNA". It matches the Rfam family "Bacterial small subunit ribosomal RNA", at positions 28 to 507 of the family's 1533-position model. The record is from RNAcentral.